CCUACGGGAGGCAGCAGUGAGGAAUAUUGGUCAAUGGCCGUAAGGCUGAACCAGCCAAGUCGCGUGAAGGAAGAAGGAUCUAUGGUUUGUAAACUUCUUUUAUAGGGGAAUAAAGGUCUCCACGUGUGGAUAUUUGCAUGUACCCUAUGAAUAAGCAUCGGUUAACUCCGCGCCAGCAGCCGCGGUAAUACGGAGGAUGCGAGCGUUAUCCGGAUUUAUUGGGUUUAAGGGGUGCGUAGGUGGUUUUUUAAGUCUGUGGUGAAAGUUGGUGGCUCAACCAUAAGAUUGCCGUUGAAACUGGACGGCUGGAGUGUAGUGGGGGUAAGUGGAAUGCGUGGUGUAGAGGUGAAAUGCAAAGAUAUUAGGAGGAACAC
This 374-nucleotide ribosomal RNA is filed under the name uncultured bacterium. Its description in RNAcentral is "partial 16S ribosomal RNA". It matches the Rfam family "Bacterial small subunit ribosomal RNA", at positions 338 to 709 of the family's 1533-position model. The record is from RNAcentral.